GGGCCUCUAGCUCAACUGGCAGAGCAGCGGACUUUUAAUCCGCGGGUUCAGGGUUCGAGCCCCUGGGGGCCCA
This 73-nucleotide transfer RNA is filed under the name Isoptericola variabilis. RNAcentral describes it as "tRNA-Lys". It matches the Rfam family "tRNA". Rfam says of the family: Transfer RNA (tRNA) molecules are approximately 80 nucleotides in length. Their secondary structure includes four short double-helical elements and three loops (D, anti-codon, and T loops). The record is from RNAcentral. Lineage: Bacteria; Bacillati; Actinomycetota; Actinomycetes; Micrococcales; Promicromonosporaceae. RNAcentral also lists the same sequence under 19 other names.